Molecule: ribosomal RNA, 468 nt
Filed under: uncultured bacterium
Lineage: Bacteria
Description: partial 16S ribosomal RNA
Rfam family: Bacterial small subunit ribosomal RNA
Source: RNAcentral
GACGAACGCUGGCGGCGUGCUUAACACAUGCAAGUCGAACGGAAAGGCCCUGCUUUUGUGGGGUGCUCGAGUGGCGAACGGGUGAGUAACACGUGAGUAACCUGCCCUUGACUUUGGGAUAACUUCAGGAAACUGGGGCUAAUACCGGAUAGGAGCUCCUGCUGCAUGGUGGGGGUUGGAAAGUUUCGGCGGUUGGGGAUGGACUCGCGGCUUAUCAGCUUGUUGGUGGGGUAGUGGCUUACCAAGGCUGUGACGGGUAGCCGGCCUGAGAGGGUGACCGGCCACAUUGGGACUGAGGUACGGCGCAGACUCCUACGGGAGACAGCAGUGGGGAAUAUUGCACAAUGGGCGGAAGCCUGAUGCAACAACGCCGCGUGCGGGAUGACCGCCUUCGGGUUGUAAACCGCUUUCGCCUGUGACGAAGCGUGAGUGACGGUAAUGGGUAAAGAAGCACCGGCUAACUACGUG